CCUACGGGGGGCAGCAGUGAGGACUAUUGGUCAAUGGGAGAGAUCCUGAACCAGCCAAGCCGCGUGAGGGAAGACGGCCCUAUGGGUUGUAAACCUCUUUUGUCUGAGAACAAAACCCAGGACGAGUCCCGGACUGCGUGUAUCCGAAGAAAAAGCAUCGGCUAACUCCGUUCCAGCAGCCGCGGUAAUACGGAGGAUGCGAGCGUUAUCCGGAUUUAUUGGGUUUAAAGGGUGCGUAGGCGGUCUGUUAAGUCAGCGGUAAAAUUGCGGGGCUCAACCCCGUCGAGCAGUUGAAACUGGCAGACGUGAGUAGGCGAGAAGUAAGCGGAAUGCGCGGGGUAGCGGUGAAAUGCAUAGAUAUCGCGCAGAACUCCGAUUGCGAAGGCAGCUUACCGGCGCCAGACUGACGCUGAGGCACGAAAGCGUGGGGAUCGAACAGGAUUAGAUACCCCUGUAGUC
This 459-nucleotide ribosomal RNA is filed under the name uncultured bacterium. Its description in RNAcentral is "partial 16S ribosomal RNA". It matches the Rfam family "Bacterial small subunit ribosomal RNA", at positions 338 to 795 of the family's 1533-position model. The record is from RNAcentral.